GACGAGCGUUCCCUGCGAUGACCUCAUCCCUGGUGUGGGAUGACGUCAAAUUCAAGAUGGAUGGAAUCACGGCGGUGGCAGCAGCGCGCGCGGGCGAAUCGUGAAGGGAGGCGCCGAGGGGGGCAGCAGGGUGGGGUGCGGCUAACGGCGGAGAGGAUAAAUCCAAAUCAUGGAGGGGCUCUUGCAUUACAUAAACCCAGCACAUGCCAUUUCUCUCUUAAGUGCUUUGAAUGAGGAACGUCUAAAAGGACAGCUAUGCGAUGUUAUUCUUAUAGUGGGAGACCAAAAAUUUAGAGCUCAUAAAAAUGUUCUGGCUGCCAGCAGUGAAUACUUCCAGACUCUCUUCACAAAUAAAGAGAAUGAGUCCCAAUCAGUGUUUCAACUUGACUUCUGUGAACCAGAUGCUUUUGAGAAUGUAUUAAACUACAUUUACUCUUCGUCUUUGUUUGUUGAGAAAAGCAGUCUUGCGGCUGUUCAAGAAUUGGGCUACAGCCUUGGAAUUUCCUUUCUUACCAACAUUGUUUCUAAGAGUCCUCAAGCUCCUUUUCCAGCAUGUCCCAUUAAAAAAAUACUGUUUCAAGAAGAAGAUGAAAGCGGUUCUCAGAAGAGAAGUGUCAUUGUUUGUCAGAGCAGAAAUGAAGCACAAGUUAAAAAUGUCAGUCAAACACAUGAUUUAAGCCAUAGCUCUAAGCCUUCACACUCCAUUGCCAUCAAAACAAACAAUAGGCCACAAGUAACAAAACCAAUUGAACCACUUCACAGUUUAUCAUUAAGUGACAGGAGGUGGCUAAAAGACAGUCCUGUGAGCUACACCAAACUUCAUGAACCUUCUGGAACUGUGGAUGACCAAAGUAGAAGUGGCUUGGUAAAGAGGAAUGCAGUAUUGCCACAAAAGCCUUUAGCUGAGAAAGAAACUUCAUGUGAUGAGCCAGGAGUGAGUGGUCAGCUUCUAAGAGGAAAAGCUGCAGAGAUGUCAUUAAAAAGACCACGUCCUCCAAUCUUAUCUCUGCAUGGUUCAUCAGAAUCUACAUUUUUGUUGCGAGAGACAGGAAAAGGAAAUGGUCAAGGAGAAGAUAGGAAUUUGCUAUACUACUCAAAAUUAGGACUAGUGGUUCCAUCUAGUGGAUCUGGUCCUGAAAACCAAAGUAUUGACCGGAGUGGCCCACUUGUAAAAAGUCUCCUUCGAAGGUCAUUGUCCAUGGAUAGUCAGGUUCCUAUUUAUUCAUCUUCUAUUGAUUUAAAAGCUUCACAUGGACCAUCAUUGGUGACUAGUGACUCACAGGGAAAAACAUUUAAUGUUACAUCUCAAAAGUCAUCCUUGAAAGAGUCUUCAGAAAAGGCUGUCCUAGAUGACAAGACACAGGUAAUACACCCACACCGCCUUAGGUCCUUUAGUGCCUCUCAGUCAACUGAUAGGGAGGUAGCUUCUCCUCUAACUGAUGUACGAAUCAAAACUGAACCUAGCAGCCCACUUUCAGAGCCUUCUGAAAUAAUAAGAGUUACAGUAGGAGAUGCUUCAACAUCUGCCAGUAAAGACUUCCCUUUUAAAACUGAGGAUGAUAAUAGGGAUAUGAGUAGACUUCCAGCAAAAAGGAGGUUUCAAGCAGAUAGAAGGCUACCAUUUAAAAAACUGAAAGUGAAUGAGCAUGGUUCUCCUGGGUCAGAGGAUAAUUUUGAGGAAAGUUCAAGUCCUACGCGUCUUGAUGCUGAUUUUCCAGAUUCUGAUGUCAGUAAAGAUGAAUACAGUGAAUUGGAAGAAGUGAGACCAAACAAAAAGUUUAAAUGCAAGCACUGCCUUAAGAUUUUCAGAUCUACAGCAGGCCUUCACCGUCAUGUUAAUAUGUAUCAUAAUCCAGAGAAACCAUAUGCUUGUGAUAUAUGCCACAAGAGAUUUCAUACGAACUUCAAAGUAUGGACUCAUUGCCAGACACAGCAUGGAAUUGUGAAGAACCCCUCACCUGCUUCCAGUUCACAUGCUGUCUUGGAUGAAAAAUUCCAAAGAAAAUUAAUUGAUAUUGUGAGAGAGAGAGAGAUUAAGAAAGCACUGAUUGUUAAACUACGACGUGGCAAACAAGGUUUUCAGGGACAGUCCAGUUCACAAGCACAGCAAGUCAUCAAAAGGAACUUAAGAUCAAGAUCCAAAGGAGCCUACAUUUGUACCUACUGUGGGAAAGCUUAUCGUUUUCUCUCCCAAUUUAAACAGCACAUAAAAAUGCAUCCAGGGGAAAAACCAAUUGGAGGAAAUAAGGUUUCUAAGCAAAAAGAGCACAUUCAUAUUGCAAGUCCAGUUGAAAACAAAGAGGUCUAUCAGUGCCGUCUUUGUAAUGCUAAGCUCUCCUCUCUUAUUGAACAGGGAAAUCAUGAGCGACUUUGUAGAAAUGCAACAGUCUGUCCUUAUUGCAGCCUUAGAUUUUCUUCUCCAGAGCUGAAGCAUGAACAUGAAAGCAAGUGUGAAUAUAAGAAGCUCACUUGUCUUGAAUGUAUGCGCACUUUUAAAUCCUCCUUUAGUAUUUGGCGUCAUCAAGUUGAAGUUCACAAUCAAAAUACCAUGGCCCCAACAGAGAAUUUUUCUUUACCUAUUCUUGAUCACAAUGGUGAAAUAACGAAUGCUUCAAGAUUGCAUUCUCAAUCAGAAUCUAAUAAAAUGAACAAUUUUGUUACUGCAAAGGAAGAUGGAGUAUUCAGUGAUUCUUCAGAACAAAUUAAUUUUGAUUCUGAAGACUCUUCAUGCCUCCCUGAAGAUCUAAGUGUUUCCAAACAGUUUAAAAUUCACGUCAAAGAAGAGCCUGCAGACGAUAUAGAGGAUGAGGUCACUGAAACCAACAGAGAAGCUAAGGAAGUAGUUUCUAAUAAAGUCACUGGCUUGUGGCCCUGUGAAAAAUGUGGAAAAAUUUUUACUGUACACAAGCAGUUGGAGCGUCACCAGGAGCUUUUGUGCUCUGUAAAACCAUUUAUUUGUCAUGUGUGCAACAAGGCCUUCCGGACCAACUUCCGUCUGUGGAGCCACUUCCAGUCUCAUAUGUCACAGGCUGCAGAGGAAUCAGUGAAUAAAGAUGCUGAGAUAUGUCCACCAGCUAACUCCCCAUCACCGCCACCUCUGCCUCCACCCCCACCUCUACCCAAAAUCCAGCCCUUAGAGCCUGAUAGUCCGACAGGUUUAUCUGAGAGCCCAACUACUACUGAGAAAUUAUUUGUUCCACAAGAAUCGGACACACUCUUUUAUCAUGCUCCACCACUUUCAGCAAUCACAUUCAAAAGACAAUAUAUGUGUAAACUUUGUCACAGGACAUUCAAGACUGCAUUUAGUCUUUGGAGCCAUGAACAGACACACAAUUAGCUAGAGAUCUUCAACAGGUAGUUUAAAAAGCUGGUUAAAUGGAGACCAUUUCCAGGAUAUUUCAGAAGUAUGCCAUAUAAACUAGAAAUCUAAGGGGACAAGAAACAUCAAAAAAGUAAAGAUGGAUUUAUGAUGCUGCUUGGAUUUGAAGAUUAAGGAGAAGAAAUCUAUGUGGACAAAAUGUGAAAGCAAGGUAUUAAAAUUGGUGCCUAAGUUUUCACCAUUGAUUCCCGUACAAAACAGCAUGAUAUUUCCUUUUUAGUUUGUUGACAGUCUGUACCUAGCCUUCUAAGAAUGAGUAUACCCUUCUAAGAGAAAAUAUGAUGACCAGUUCAGCUAUCAAAUAAUCAUAAUUUUCAACUGAAGCACUUCUUUGAUGCAUUUUUGGUAUACUAAGAUUAUAAAUAGCACACAUAUAACAACCUUGUGCUAUAUUUUGAAGAAGUCUUGAUUUUUCCCCCAAGUGUAAUAUAUAUUGUAAAAAUCAGAAAAAAGUGGAUAUAACUAGUUUCCUUUAUAAAUUUGUUAGAUUAUUUUUAAAAGUUUGUUUUAAUUUUGAGCAUGUUCUGUGCUUUUUUUAAAUUAGUUCCUGUUUGUUGUCCAAUAAAGGAAUACAGGCUCUCUAAAUAAAGUUUUAA
RNA transcript from Terrapene triunguis (Three-toed box turtle), 3975 nucleotides. It is a transcript of the gene named zinc finger and BTB domain-containing protein 21, with no coding region annotated. The transcript has 3 exons. NCBI's taxonomy places the organism in Eukaryota, Metazoa, Chordata, Testudines, Emydidae. The record is from RefSeq and is a predicted model, not a curated record.